This 74-nucleotide transfer RNA is filed under the name Lachnospiraceae bacterium. Its description in RNAcentral is "tRNA-Arg". It matches the Rfam family "tRNA". From Rfam's summary of the family: Transfer RNA (tRNA) molecules are approximately 80 nucleotides in length. Their secondary structure includes four short double-helical elements and three loops (D, anti-codon, and T loops). The record is from RNAcentral. Lineage: Bacteria; Bacillati; Bacillota; Clostridia; Lachnospirales; Lachnospiraceae. RNAcentral also lists the same sequence under 1 other name.
GUGUCUGUAGCUCAGUUGGAUAGAGCAACGGCCUUCUAAGCCGUGGGUCGAGGGUUCGAAUCCCCCCAGGCACG